Ictalurus punctatus (channel catfish) is the source of this 2169-nucleotide long non-coding RNA. Lineage: Eukaryota; Metazoa; Chordata; Actinopteri; Siluriformes; Ictaluridae. The record is from Ensembl.
CUCUCCCUCAGCCGAGUGUCAUCUAACUUCUUUUCAAGUUCACUCUCCCUCAGCCGAGUGUCAUCUAACUUCUUUUCAAGUUCUCUCUCCCUCAGCCGAGUGUCAUCUAACUUCUUUUCAAGUUCGCCCUCCCUAAGCCGAGAAUCACCCAACUUCUUUUCAAGUUCUCUCUCUCUCAGCUGAGUGUCAUCUAACUUCUUUUCAAGUUCACUCUCUCUCAGCUGAGUGUCAUCUAACUUCUUUUCAAGUUCGCCCUCCCUAAGCCGAGAAUCACCCAACUUCUUUUCAAGUUCGCCCUCCCUAAGCCAAGAGUCACCCAACUUCUUUUCAAGUUCUCUCUCCCUCAGCAGAGUGUCAUCUAACUUCUUUUCAAGUUCACUCUCUCUCAGCUGAGUGUCAUCUAACUUCUUUUCAAGUUCGCCCUCCCUAAGCCGAGACUCACCCAACUUCUUUUCAAGUUCACUCUCCCUAAGCCGAGUGUCAUUUAACUUCUUUUCAAGUUCACUCUCCCUCAGCUGAGUGUCAUCUAACUUCUUUUCAAGUUCACUCUCCCUCAGCCGAGAGUCACCCAACUUCUUUUCAAGUUCACUCUCCCUAAGCCGAGUGUCAUUUAACUUCUUUUCAAGUUCACUCUCCCUCAGCCGAGUGUCAUCUAACUUCUUUUCAAGUUCGCCCUCCCUAAGCCAAGAGUCACCCAACUUCUUUUGAAGUUCUCUCUCUCUCAGCUGAGUGUCAUCUAACUUCUUUUCAAGCUCGCCCUCCCUAAGCCGAGACUCACCCAACUUCUUUUCAAGUUCUCUCUCUCUCAGCUGAGUGUCAUCUAACUUCUUUCAAGUUCACUCUCCCUCAGCCGAGAGUCACCCAACUUCUUUUCAAGUUCACUCUCCCUAAGCCGAGUGUCAUUUAACUUCUUUUCAAGUUCACUCUCCCUCAGCUGAGUGUCACCUAACUUCUUUUCAAGUUCACUCUCCCUCAGCCGAGUGUCAUCUAACUUCUUUUCAAGUUCUCUCUCCCUCAGCUGAGUGUCAUCUAACUUCUUUUCAAGUUCACUCUCCCUCAGCCGAGAGUCACCCAACUUCUUUUCAAGUUCACUCUCCCUAAGCCGAGUGUCAUUUAACUUCUUUUCAAGUUCUCUCUCCCUCAGCUGAGUGUCAUCUAACUUCUUUUCAAGUUCACUCUCCCUCAGCCGAGUGACACCUAACUUCUUUUCUAGUUCACUAUUUUUUAUUUGUAAAACAUCAGAAUCAUUUCUUAGUGUAUAUUCCUUUAAUUUGAAAUCAUCCAGCUGCUUCCUUAGUUUACUGUCCUUCAUUUCAUAAUCAUCCAGUUGCUUUCCUAGUUUACCCACUCUUUGUGUGGAAGUAUCCAGUUCCUUUCUUAGUAUAAGCUCAUUACUUUUGAAAGUGUCUAGCUCCUUUCUUAGUUCACUUUCUCUCAGUUGACCAGCAUCCAACUUUUCAUUUAGUUCACUCUCUCUCACCCGAGAGUCCUCCAGCUUCUUUUCAAGUUCACUCUCUCUCAGCUGAGAGUCAUCCAACUUCUUUUCAAGUUCACUUUCUCUCUGUUGUAAGGUCUCCAUCUUCAUUUUUUGUUCGUUAAUAUGCUGGUCUUUUUGUCUUUUUUCAUCCUUGCAUUCAUCCAGUAAGGUCUUUAUAUAUAAAAUUCUUUUCUUUUCCCAUGGUUCAAAUUUAUUCAUAAGUUCUGCAUAGGCUGGUGGAAUAAAGAACUUGCUGUUUGUGUUAGCUAUCAUAUUCUCAACUUUCCUGAAAAGAUUCUGAACACUGCUAUCAGUGUCCUCUAGAAAGUGGCGCCUUUUCCCACAUUUCAAAACACACUUCAUUGAGGCAGGCUCAGAAGUUUUUUCUCCAUCUCCUCUAAUGAACAGCACCAUACUGUAGUCGAAUGCCUCUUUCCCAAACACUGAAGCAACUGCUUUUAAAAGGAGAUGCACUUUUCCAGGGUCCUGUCCAUCUCUAAUCACCAAAAGGAAUGCAUUAGGCCCAGGGAACACCAAUGAUGCACAUUUCUGAAGGUCAUUUUUGAUACUUUUGACUCUCCUGGAAAAAAAGAAUGAUUUCAAGUGCUUCAACCAUGGAGAAGGACUAAUUGCCACAGUGACAUGUCUUCCCUGGACAUGGUUCUCCUUCACCUCCCACCCUUCCAGAUCAG